Long non-coding RNA from Betta splendens (Siamese fighting fish), 2001 nucleotides. Lineage: Eukaryota; Metazoa; Chordata; Actinopteri; Anabantiformes; Osphronemidae. The record is from Ensembl.
AUGCCAGAAUCCACACCUACAGCUAAACUUAAGAGUGAAUUUCACUAUGUGUGUAAGACUCAAAUCAAGGAAUUGACCACUCCAGACAAUGUAAUUAAGAUCCUAGAAUCUGAUUUCAGUGAAAGAGAUGUGGAGGAAGCAAUACUUUCUCAGGAAGAUUUCCACUUCUUGACCAAGCUGAAGGAGGGAAUCAUGCAGAAACAUGAUGGUCAUUAUGUAAUGCCCCUGCCUUUCAAACAAGACAGACCAAACCUGCCUAGCAAUAAAGCAUGUGCUGUUCAUCGGUUGUCAUGCUUAAAGCGCAGAUUCAAGAGAGACCAGAAAUAUCACACAGGCUAUAAGAACUUCAUGAAAGACCUCAUAGCUCGUGGUGAGGCAGAAAAGAUCACAGAUGAGGAAUUGAACAACGAACCAGCCUGGUAUAUACCUCAUCAUGGUGUAUACCACCCUCAAAAGCCAGGGAAGAUACGAGUAGUCUUUGAUUGCUCUGCAAGGUUUCAAGACACUUCCCUGAAUGACCAUCUUCUUACAGGUCCAGAUCUUACAAACAACUUGGUGGGAGUUCUUUGUAGGUUUCGUGAGGGACCCAUAGCUGUCAUGUGUGACGUCGAACGCAUGUUUCAUCAGUUUCAUGUUAAGACUGAAGACCAGGACUACUUAAGGUUCUUAUGGUGGGAGGAUGAUGAUCUGGAAUCUUCACCAUCAGUGUUUCGAAUGAAGGUACAUCUGUUCGGGGCAGCCUCCUCACCUGGGUGUGCCAACUUUGGGUUGAAGCAUUUAGCUAGUCAGUGUCAGGAUCAGUUCAGUGAAAGCACUGUUAAAUUCAUUCAGAGAAGUUUUUAUGUUGAUGAUGGAUUAGUGAGUGUUAUGUCGGAUGCUGAGGCAAUCCAACUCAUUAAGGAAGCCAGAGAGCUCUGCAAAACAGGGAAGCUUAGACUGCAUAAGUUUGUUUCCAACAGCAAGCCUGUUUUGAAAUCAGUACCAGAGGAAAAGCGUGCUGAUAGUGUCAAAACCCUGGACAUGGCUUUGGGAGAGCCUCUAUGUGAGAGAGCUCUUGGUGUUCAGUGGUGCAUAUCUUCCGAUGACUUUCAGUUCAGAAUUACUGUCAAGGAACACCCACUGACCAGAAGAGGAGUACUGUCUACAGUAGCUUCCGUCUAUGACCCGUUAGGAUUCUUAGCUCCGUUUGUCCUAAGAGGAAAGCAAAUUCUACAGAAACUGUGCAGAGAGAAGGUUGGUUGGGAUGAGUUCCUCCCAGAAGAACUCAGAACACAGUGGACAUCCUGGCUAGAAGAUCUUCAGAAUUUGUCUAAAGUGAAGAUCAAAAGACCUUACCUACCAGUAAGCUUCUAUGAGGUUAAGCAAUAUCAGCUUCAUCAUUUUUCAGACGCGAGUGUCACAGGUUAUGGAGAGUGUACGUACCUUAGAGCAGUUAAUGCUGAUGGAGAAGUCCAUUGCUCUUUUGUUAUGGGAAAGGCACGCGUUGCUCCUACUAAGGUAACCACGGUACCACGUCUUGAGCUAUCUGCAGCAGUAGUAGCAGCAAGGACAAGUGUUGUUCUCAGCGAAGAACUUGAACUGAAGGAUCUUCAAGAACAUUUUUGGACUGACUCAAGGGUAGUUCUUGGAUACCUAAAUAAUGAUGCAAGACGUUUUCAUGUGUUUGUGGCAAAUAGAGUCCAAAGAAUUAGGUCAAUUACAGAACCCCAACAGUGGCAUUAUGUGCAGUCUGCAGAUAAUCCUGCAGAUCAUGCAUCCAGAGGACUAACGGCAGAUGAGCUUGUUGCUUCAAACUGGCUCACUGGCCCAGAUUUCUUGUGGAAAAGGGAGCUACCCACAAGUGAAGUGAAAGUGGAAGAAGUCAGUGACAAUGAUCCAGAACUCCGAAAGGUGCAGGUGCUCAAAACCAGUGCAAAGGAAGACAGGACAUUGUUAGAUCGUUUGACAAAGUUUCUGACUGGAAAAGAGCCAUUAAAGGUAUUGCUAGUCUUAAGCGCUUAG